UACGUAGGGACCAAGCGUUGUUCGGAUUUACUGGGCGUAAAGGGCGCGUAGGCGGCCCUCCUUGUCGCGUGUGAAAGCCCCGGGCUCAACCUGGGAAUUGCGCGCGAAACGGGGGGGCUUGAGUUCGGGAGAGGAGCGUGGAAUUCCCAGUGUAGAGGUGAAAUUCGUAGAUAUUGGGAAGAACACCGGUGGCGAAGGCGGCGCUCUGGACCGAGACUGACGCUGAGGCGCGAAAGCGUGGGGAGCAAACAGG
This 253-nucleotide ribosomal RNA is filed under the name uncultured bacterium. RNAcentral describes it as "partial 16S ribosomal RNA". It matches the Rfam family "Bacterial small subunit ribosomal RNA", at positions 524 to 776 of the family's 1533-position model. The record is from RNAcentral.